RNAcentral lists this long non-coding RNA (237 nucleotides) under Elaeis guineensis (African oil palm). RNAcentral describes it as "long non-coding RNA (EGUI_LNC058143)". Lineage: Eukaryota; Viridiplantae; Streptophyta; Magnoliopsida; Arecales; Arecaceae. The record is from RNAcentral.
CUCACAAUCCACCAGUGAUACCUAGCAGUAUGUAGUGGCAACCUAGUAGAAUUAAAAAUGAAUCUCAAGGUGUAGUUAGCAUGUGAUUCAGUCCCUCUAUUGUGAGUCUCAAUUGGAUGGCAGGUCAUGGAUAAAUCAUCAAACCUCAAUAUCAGUCAUAUGAUAGAUUCGAUCAGCUUAAAUUUAAUAAUAAUUUUUAUGAAAACUCCUUUCUAUCAAUCAUACUACUGUGGCCAC